Molecule: ribosomal RNA, 434 nt
Filed under: uncultured bacterium
Lineage: Bacteria
Description: bacterial SSU rRNA
Rfam family: Bacterial small subunit ribosomal RNA
Source: RNAcentral
AACGCGAAGAACCUUACCAGCCCUUGACAUGGUCGGACGGUUUCCAGAGAUGGAUUCCUUCACUUCGGUGACUGACACACAGGUGCUGCAUGGCUGUCGUCAGCUCGUGUCGUGAGAUGUUGGGUUAAGUCCCGCAACGAGCGCAACCCUCGCCUUUAGUUGCCAUCAUUUAGUUGGGCACUCUAGAGGGACUGCCGGUGAUAAGCCGGAGGAAGGUGGGGAUGACGUCAAGUCUUCAUGGCCCUUACGGGCUGGGCUACACACGUGCUACAAUGGUGGUGACAGAGGGCAGCUAGACCGCGAGGUCAUGCUAAUCCCUAAAAGCCAUCUCAGUUCGGAUUGCACUCUGCAACUCGAGUGCAUGAAGUUGGAAUUGCUAGUAAUCGCAGAUCAGCACGCUGCGGUGAAUACGUUCCCGGGCCUUGUACACACCG